GUUAUAUUAUGUAAAGUAGGCUAGGUUAUAAUGUAUAGUAGUGGGUUGUUAGUGAUAUGUAGAUGUUAUAUUAUGUAAAGUAGACUAGGUUAUAAUGUAUAGUAGUGGGUUGUUAGUGAUAUGUUAUAUUAUGUAAAGUAGACUAGGUUAUAAUGUAUAGUAGUGGGUUGUUAGUGAUAUGUUAUAUUAUGUAAAGUAGACUAGGUUAUAAUGUAUAGUAGUGGGUUGUUAGUGAUAUGUAGAUGUUAUAUUAUGUAAAGUAGACUAGGUUAUAAUGUAUAGUAGUGGGUUGUUAGUGAUAUGUAGAUGUUAUAUUAUGUAAAGUAGACUAGGUUAUAAUGUAUAGUAGUGGGUUGUUAGUGAUAUGUUAUAUUAUGUAAAGUAGACUAGGUUAUAAUGUAUAGUAGUGGGUUGUUAGUGAUAUGUAGAUGUUAUAUUAUGUAAAGUAGACUAGGUUAUAAUGUAUAGUAGUGGGUUGUUAGUGAUAUGUAGAUGUUAUAUUAUGUAAAGUAGACUAGGUUAUAAUGUAUAGUGGUGGGUUGUUAGUGAUAUGUUAUAUUAUGUAAAGUAGACUAGGUUAUAAUGUAUAGUAGUGGGUUGUUAGUGAUAUGUUAUAUUAUGUAAAGUAGACUAGGUUAUAAUGUAUAGUAGUGGGUUGUUAGUGAUAUGUAGAUGUUAUAUUAUGUAAAGUAGACUAGGUUAUAAUGUAUAGUAGUGGGUUGUUAGUGAUAUGUUAUAUUAUGUAAAGUAGACUAGGUUAUAAUGUAUAGUAGUGGGUUGGUAGUGAUAUGUAGAUGUUAUAUUAUGUAAAGUAGACUAGCUUAUAAUGUAUAGUAGUGGGUUGUUAGUGAUAUGUAGAUGUUAUAUUAUGUAAAGUAGACUAGGUUAUAAUGUAUAGUAGUGGGUUGUUAGUGAUAUGUUAUAUUAUGUAAAGUAGACUAGGUUAUAAUGUAUAGUAGUGGGUUGUUAGUGAUAUGUUAUAUUAUGUAAAGUAGACUAGGUUAUAAUGUAUAGUAGUGGGUUGUUAGUGAUAUGUAGAUGUUAUAUUAUGUAAAGUAGACUAGGUUAUAAUGUAUAGUAGUGGGUUGUUAGUGAUAUGUAGAUGUUAUAUUAUGUAAAGUAGACUAGGUUAUAAUGUAUAGUAGUGGGUUGUUAGUGAUAUGUAGAUGUUAUAUUAUGUAAAGUAGACUAGGUUAUAAUGUAUAGUAGUGGGUUGUUAGUGAUAUGUAGAUGUUAUAUUA
Molecule: long non-coding RNA, 1241 nt
Organism: Oncorhynchus keta (chum salmon)
Lineage: Eukaryota; Metazoa; Chordata; Actinopteri; Salmoniformes; Salmonidae
Exons: 3
Source: RefSeq, a predicted model, not a curated record